Molecule: ribosomal RNA, 1238 nt
Filed under: uncultured bacterium
Lineage: Bacteria
Description: bacterial SSU rRNA
Rfam family: Bacterial small subunit ribosomal RNA
Source: RNAcentral
CAGUCAGAAAUGACUGCUAAUACCGCAUAAGCGCACAGAGCUGCAUGGCUCGGUGUGAAAAACUCCGGUAGUAUAAGAUGGACCCGCGUUGGAUUAGCUAGUUGGUGAGGUAACGGCCCACCAAGGCGACGAUCCAUAGCCGGCCUGAGAGGGUGAACGGCCACAUUGGGACUGAGACACGGCCCAGACUCCUACGGGAGGCAGCAGUGGGGAAUAUUGCACAAUGGGGGAAACCCUGAUGCAGCGACGCCGCGUGAAGGAAGAAGUAUCUCGGUAUGUAAACUUCUAUCAGCAGGGAAGAAAAUGACGGUACCUGACUAAGAAGCCCCGGCUAACUACGUGCCAGCAGCCGCGGUAAUACGUAGGGGGCAAGCGUUAUCCGGAUUUACUGGGUGUAAAGGGAGCGUAGACGGAUGGACAAGUCUGAUGUGAAAGGCUGGGGCUCAACCCCGGGACUGCAUUGGAAACUGCCCGUCUUGAGUGCCGGAGAGGUAAGCGGAAUUCCUAGUGUAGCGGUGAAAUGCGUAGAUAUUAGGAGGAACACCGGAGGCGAAGGCGGCUCACUGGACUGUAACUGACACUGAGGCUCGAAAGCGUGGGGAGCAAACAGGAAGAGAUACCCUGGUAGUCCACGCGGUAAACGAUGACUAUAAGAGGUCGGGUAGCAAAGCUACCCCGGUGUCGUUGCAAACGCAAAUAAGUAUUCCACAAGGGGAGUACGUUGGCAAGAAUGAAACUCAAAGGAAUAGUCGGGGACCUGCACAAGCGGUGGAGCAUGUGGUUUAGUUCGAAGCAACGCGAAGAACCUUACCAAAUCUUGACAUCGAUCUGACCGGCCUGUAAUGAGUCCUUUCCCUUCGGGGACAGAGAAGACAGGUGGUGCAUGGUUGUGGUCAGCUCGUGUCGUGAGAUGUUGGGUUAAGUCCCGCAACGAGCGCAACCCUUAUCCUCAGUAGCCAGCGGUUCGGCCGGGCACUCUGAGGAGACUGCCAGGGACUAACCUGGAGGAAGGCGGGGAUGACGUCAAAUCAUCAUGCCCCUUAUGAUUGGGGCUACACACGUGCUACAAUGGCGUAAACAGAGGGAAGCAGCCUCGUGAGAGUGAGCAGAUCCCAAAAAUAACGUCUCAGUUCGGAUUGUAGUCUGCAACUCGACUACAUGAAGCUGGAAUCGCUAGUAAUCGCGAAUCAGAAUGUCGCGGUGAAUACGUUCCCGGGUCUUGCACACACCGCCCGUCA